GAAUAUGGCUCAGUGGUAGAGCAUUUGCCGAACAAGCACGAGGCCCUGGGUUCAAUCCCCAGCACCA
RNAcentral lists this transfer RNA (67 nucleotides) under Marmota monax (woodchuck). RNAcentral's name for it is "tRNA.Val". Lineage: Eukaryota; Metazoa; Chordata; Mammalia; Rodentia; Sciuridae. The record is from RNAcentral.